ACGAGUGUUUCUUGGUCCUGCCAGGGGAUCUGAGCGGCACACCUACAACAUCCACUAUGAAAUGUGGUGUGUGCCGGACAGGGGCUCACCGAGGAGCUAGAGAGUGAGAGUGAGGCAGGCUGUUUUAAAGAGGUGGCAGGGGAAGGUCUCUCUGAGCAAAAGCAGAGACUUUGGGUAAAGACUUGAUUGGCAUUGAGGAAGUGAGCCAUUUAAAGUCAAGGACACCAGAGGUUCUAAACAGAGGAAACAGCAAAUGCAAAGCAGAGAACAAGCUUGGCACAUUUGAGAAACAACAAUAAGUCCAGUGUGUCUAGAGCCACAAGAGUGAAGGAGAGAGCAGCUGGCGGUUCAGCCAAUGGGGUACCAGGAAAGCAGAUGGCAGAGAGCCUGGUAGACCAUGAUAGAAGCAUAUGUGACACUGCAUUCGAAUCCAGGGAAGUAUAGGGAGCAGUAAUAAAAGUGUGAAGACCUAUUACAAGUUCCUCGCAGUCAUCCAGCUGCUGAUUUUCUCCUGAGGAAUCACCCCUGUUGACUCUGGGUGGUCCUGGAAGAAGGUGAACCCUGUUCCCUGACUCCCAUCACUGAGGUCAAGGGUCUGGAGCCCUCCUCCUCCUGUCCUGGCACAACGGGGAACCCGGCAGGACAGCUGUCCUCUGGGACUCUUGAGUUCACUCACCUCAGCCACCAAGCCCUGGUGGGAGGGUUCCACCAAAGGGAAGUUCCUGGGGUUUCCUCUUCCCUCUCCAAGGGGUAGGGUUACUUCCUGUCCUCCAGCCUUCCAUGGCCUCAUUAUCUCUCCAGAUCAUCUCAUUCAAUUCUCAUUGCUCCAGUGAGCCUGGAUUGUUUUCUGUUGCUAACAACAACCAUAAAAAAAACGCCAACUGAUACUCUUCCCCAAGGUCACUUACCCAGAGCAAGGUCCAGCCUGAGAUUUGAAUUCCUACUGAGUCUCCUACAGAGGCACUGCUAUGAGCUGAACUGUGCCUUUCCCUAGGUUCAGUCCCCUGAGACCUGAGAAUGGGGGACAGUAUUUGGAUACACGGUCCUUAUAGAGCUAAUAAAGGUUAAAUAGGUUACUGGCGGGAUCCUCAUCCAAUAUAAUUGGUGUCCUUAUAAGAGGAAAUUGGGACACACAUCAGUGAGCAUUGGGAAGACCAUGUGAGGACAGACAGAGAAGCUUGGCCAUCUGCAAGUCCAGGAGAGAGACUCAGAACAAAUCAACCUGCUGACACCUUGAUCUUGGACUUCUGGCCUCCAGAACUGUGAGAAAACACAUUUCUGUUGGGUAAGCGGCCUGGCCUGUGGUCCUUUGUCAUGGCAGCCCUGGCAGACGAGUGCAGGCCGCACUUCCCACCGCCAUGGCGCCACUGUCUGUGGACAUCACACAGCCUCAUCAUACAGUCAUCCCUGAAUCCCCGAAGAUGCUCAAAUUAGCAGGCUGUUCUUAGAACCACAUUUCCUGGACAGGCUUAAGAAUACAUUCUCUCUGGUGAUACAGAUAUCUGAAAGACACACACACGCACGCACGCACACACACACACACACACACACACA
Molecule: long non-coding RNA, 1554 nt
Organism: Sapajus apella (tufted capuchin)
Lineage: Eukaryota; Metazoa; Chordata; Mammalia; Primates; Cebidae
Exons: 3
Source: RefSeq, a predicted model, not a curated record